GAUGAAGAACGUAGCGAAAUGCGAUAAGUAAUGUGAAUUGCAGAAUUCAGUGAAUCAUCGAAUCUUUGAACGCAUCUUGCGCUCCUUGGUAUUCUGAGGAGCAUGCCUGUUUGAGUGUCAUUAAAUUCUCAACUACACUGACUUUGAAUUGGUGUGGCUUGGAUUUGGGGGGAAAAUUGUUGUGGGCUUUUUGUAUAGUCUGCUCCCCUGAAAUUGAUUAGCGGUACCUUUGUGGAACUGUCUACAGGUGUGAUAAUUAUCUACAUCUUAGACAUCUGCUGGAAUGCUGCUUUCUAAACCUUACCUGUAUUGACAAUCUUGACCUCAAAUCAGGUAGGACUACCCGCUGAACUUAAGCAUAUCAAUAAGCGGAGGA
RNAcentral lists this unclassified non-coding RNA (376 nucleotides) under soil metagenome. RNAcentral describes it as "partial contains 5.8S ribosomal RNA, internal transcribed spacer 2, and large subunit ribosomal RNA". The stretch from base 1 to 120 matches the Rfam family "5.8S ribosomal RNA", at positions 35 to 154 of the family's 154-position model. The record is from RNAcentral.